Molecule: long non-coding RNA, 533 nt
Filed under: Medicago truncatula (barrel medic)
Lineage: Eukaryota; Viridiplantae; Streptophyta; Magnoliopsida; Fabales; Fabaceae
Description: long non-coding RNA (MTRU_LNC004521)
Source: RNAcentral
GUAUGCAUGCAUAUAUGACUGAAUUUGAUUGAUGAUAAAAAUGUGUUAAAGGUUGGUGGUGGAGUAGGUAAAAGGGUAAGAGGAGAAGUUCUCAAAAGAAUCAAUAAAAGGGUGGUGGUGGUGGUGAUGCAUAUGAGAUUCCAAAGACAGGUGGUAUAGGCCCUUCAUAUACAGGUGGUGGUGGCGGCGAUGAAUAUACCGGUGGUGGAGGUGAGGGAUAUGCAUAUACUGGUGAUGGUGGGGGUGAGGUGUAUACCGGUGGUGGCGGUGAGGGAUAGGCAUAUACUGGUGAUGGUGGUGGUGAUGGGGAUGGUGGUGGGUGAUAAGGUGUUUGAUGUGGCGCUGGCGAUGAUGGUGGUGGAGGUUCUACACAAGGUGGCGGUGGAGGUGGUGGAGGUUCUACACAAGGUGGUGGAGAUGGCGGUGGUGGUGAAUAGACUGGUGGUGGAGGUGAGUGUACUGGAGGAGGUGGUGGGGGUGAUAAAUAUGGAUAUACGGGUGGAGGAGGUGAGUGAGGUGGUGGUGGUGGCGAA